UCUGCGGUUUCCGAGAGGAAUUAAACCGGAAUCAGGUGCAAGUCCUGAGCAACCGCCAUUACCGUAAGGAACGAAUCAUUUGCAACGCCAUCGGAAACGAGAAGGCGCAAAUGUAUUCUUAUUAAUAUAUUAAUAAGAUAUAUUCCGAGCCGGGAUACCUGCCGCAGAAUAU
RNAcentral lists this non-coding RNA (172 nucleotides) under pig gut metagenome. The record is from RNAcentral.